GCCUUCGUGGUAUAGUGGUCUGCAUGUUCGACGCGCAACCGAGAGGUCCGUGGUUCGAUUCCCGGCGAAGGCG
This 73-nucleotide transfer RNA is filed under the name Stegodyphus mimosarum. It matches the Rfam family "tRNA". Rfam says of the family: Transfer RNA (tRNA) molecules are approximately 80 nucleotides in length. The record is from Rfam by way of RNAcentral. Lineage: Eukaryota; Metazoa; Arthropoda; Arachnida; Araneae; Eresidae.